AUGAUGAGGCAUGCAAGUCGAACGGAAUAAUGACUUCGGUUGUUAUUUAGUNGCGGAAGGGUUAGUAAUACAUAGAUAAUCUGUCCUCAACUUGGGAAUAACGGUUGGAAACGACCGCUAAUACCGAAUGUGGUAUGUUUAGGCAUCUAAAACAUAUUAAAGAAGGGGAUCUUAGGACCUUUCGGUUAAGGAAGAGUCUAUGGGAUAUCAGCUUGUUGGUGGGGUAAUGGCCUACCAAGGCUUUGACGUCUAGGCGGAUUGAGAGAUUGACCGCCAACACUGGGACUGAGACACUGCCCAGACUUCUACGGAAGGCUGCAGUCGAGAAUCUUUCGCAAUGGACGAAAGUCUGACGAAGCGACGCCGCGUGUGUGAUGAAGGCUCUAGGGUUGUAAAGCACUUUCGCUUGGGAAUAAGAGAAAUUGGCUAAUAUCCAAUUGAUUUGAGCGUACCAGGUAAA
Molecule: ribosomal RNA, 460 nt
Filed under: uncultured Chlamydia sp.
Lineage: Bacteria; Pseudomonadati; Chlamydiota; Chlamydiia; Chlamydiales; Chlamydiaceae
Description: bacterial SSU rRNA
Rfam family: Bacterial small subunit ribosomal RNA
Source: RNAcentral